GCUUGCUCCACCGGAAAAAGAGGAGUGGCGAACGGGUGAGUAACACGUGGGUAACCUGCCCAUCAGAAGGGGAUAACACUUGGAAACAGGUGCUAAUACCGUAUAACAAUCGAAACCGCAUGGUUUUGAUUUGAAAGGCGCUUUCGGGUGUCGCUGAUGGAUGGACCCGCGGUGCAUUAGCUAGUUGGUGAGGUAACGGCUCACCAAGGCCACGAUGCAUAGCCGACCUGAGAGGGUGAUCGGCCACAUUGGGACUGAGACACGGCCCAAACUCCUACGGGAGGCAGCAGUAGGGAAUCUUCGGCAAUGGACGAAAGUCUGACCGAGCAACGCCGCGUGAGUGAAGAAGGUUUUCGGAUCGUAAAACUCUGUUGUUAGAGAAGAACAAGGAUGAGAGUAACUGUUCAUCCCUUGACGGUAUCUAACCAGAAAGCCACGGCUAACUACGUGCCAGCAGCCGCGGUAAUACGUAGGUGGCAAGCGUUGUCCGGAUUUAUUGGGCGUAAAGCGAGCGCAGGCGGUUUCUUAAGUCUGAUGUGAAAGCCCCCGGCUCAACCGGGGAGGGUCAUUGGAAACUGGGAGACUUGAGUGCAGAAGAGGAGAGUGGAAUUCCAUGUGUAGCGGUGAAAUGCGUAGAUAUAUGGAGGAACACCAGUGGCGAAGGCGGCUCUCUGGUCUGUAACUGACGCUGAGGCUCGAAAGCGUGGGGAGCAAACAGGAUUAGAUACCCUGGUAGUCCACGCCGUAAACGAUGAGUGCUAAGUGUUGGAGGGUUUCCGCCCUUCAGUGCUGCAGCUAACGCAUUAAGCACUCCGCCUGGGGAGUACGACCGCAAGGUUGAAACUCAAAGGAAUUGACGGGGGCCCGCACAAGCGGUGGAGCAUGUGGUUUAAUUCGAAGCAACGCGAAGAACCUUACCAGGUCUUGACAUCCUUUGACCACUCUAGAGAUAGAGCUUCCCCUUCGGGGGCAAAGUGACAGGUGGUGCAUGGUUGUCGUCAGCUCCGGUCCGGGAAAAUGUUGGGUUAAGUCCCGCACCAACGCCAC
Molecule: ribosomal RNA, 1047 nt
Filed under: Enterococcus faecium
Lineage: Bacteria; Bacillati; Bacillota; Bacilli; Lactobacillales; Enterococcaceae
Description: bacterial SSU rRNA
Rfam family: Bacterial small subunit ribosomal RNA
Source: RNAcentral